UACGGGAGGCAGCAGUGGGGAAUAUUGCACAAUGGGCGCAAGCCUGAUGCAGCCAUGCCGCGUGUAUGAAGAAGGCUUCGGGUUGUAAAGUACUUUCAGCGAGGAGGAAGGUGCUGCGGUUAAUAACCGCAGCAAUUGACGUUACUCGCAGAAGAAGC
This 158-nucleotide ribosomal RNA is filed under the name uncultured Gammaproteobacteria bacterium. Its description in RNAcentral is "partial 16S ribosomal RNA". It matches the Rfam family "Bacterial small subunit ribosomal RNA", at positions 340 to 491 of the family's 1533-position model. Lineage: Bacteria; Pseudomonadati; Pseudomonadota; Gammaproteobacteria. The record is from RNAcentral.